GACUCUGUUCAACGGCCGCGGUAUUCUGACCGUGCGAAGGUAGCGUAAUCACUUGUUCUUUAAAUAAGGACUUGUAUGAAUGGCACCACGAGGGUUAUACUGUCUCCCUUUUUUAAUCAGUGAACCUAAUCUCCCCGUGAAGAAGCGGGGAUAAACCUAUAAGACGAGAAGACCCCAUGGAGCUUUAAACAAACAGCACUUGCUAGCACUAAUUUAAAUUAAGCCCAGCAUACUGACUGCUAGUUUUCGGUUGGGGCGACCGCGGAGAAUAAACCACCCUCCACGUUGAAAGAAAUUUUUCUUAGCUAUAAGCUACAACUUUAAGCAUCAUUAAUUUGACAACUCUUGACCCAAUAAAAUUGAUCAACGAACCUAGUUACCCUGGGGAUAACAGCGCAAUCCAUUUCAAGAGCCCCUAUCGACAAAUGGGUUUACGACCUCGAUGUUGGAUCAGGGUAUCCCAGUGGUGCAGCC
RNAcentral lists this ribosomal RNA (474 nucleotides) under Limnodynastes tasmaniensis. RNAcentral's name for it is "partial 16S ribosomal RNA". It matches the Rfam family "Bacterial large subunit ribosomal RNA", at positions 1916 to 2560 of the family's 2925-position model. Lineage: Eukaryota; Metazoa; Chordata; Amphibia; Anura; Limnodynastidae. The record is from RNAcentral.